Long non-coding RNA from Homo sapiens (human), 1209 nucleotides. RefSeq annotates it as ACSL1 divergent transcript. The record is from RefSeq and is a predicted model, not a curated record. Lineage: Eukaryota; Metazoa; Chordata; Mammalia; Primates; Hominidae. The transcript is spliced from 3 exons.
CUGUCUGGGCGCGCGUGGCUGGCGGGUGGCCGGCGGUCGAGAGGCUGCGGCGGGCGAACGCCGCUGGAGUCGCCCAGACUGCCUCGGAUUUCAUAAUGAAUCUGAGGAAGGACAAAGGGUACAUUGGACCGCCUCAGCUCAGAGGCCCCGCGGACCCUGGGCCCCGCGAUGCCCGAGGGGCGGGCGGCGCCCUCCGGAUCCUGCACCCUCAGCCCGUGCCCCGCUGGCCUCCUGGCAGGCCGGGCAGAAUUCUGCUGCGAGGGCCCUGGAGGCAAGGGCCUUCCUCUCCGUUUUUCCUUGACACUGACGGGCGCGGCCCCACAGGGUUUCCCCCACGCUCCCUGGCCGGAAGACCUUUUCUGUCUGGUGUCUGCAGAGCCUGACGUGGGCAGCGCCCGCAGCUCGCGCCGGUGCAGGGGAGCUGAGGGCCGACUGCGCGCUGCACCACGGCGGCCACCUGCUGUGCGGUUCUGAGGGCUUCCGCGGUUCUGAGGGCUUCCGCGUCCCUGCCAUGCCCAUCUUGGGGCUUCAGAAGCCAACACGAUGGUUUUCGGGCUCACAUCCCAAAGGCUGCUCUUCCUUUUAGCACCUGGGACCUACCAGGAACCUCAACCUCUAACAACAUUGGUCCCCGUUACCGUGGAGUUUGCGCCCAGCGUUCGCUGGAGGGCCGUUUGAAGAAUGAUUGUUGUCGUAAAGGCCUUUGAUAAUAAUAGAUACUGUUUACCCAGUGCUUGAUGCCAGGCAUUGCUACAAACACUGCGUACACAUUAUUCUAUUUAAUCUUCAUAACCCAGUGAGGAUAUCAACCAGGAUAUGGCAUUGCAUUGGAUCCCAACCAGGAUAUGACGUUACAUUGGAUCCCAACCAGGAUAUGGCAUUGCACUGGAUCCCAACCAGGAUAUGGCAUUGCACUGGAUCCCAACCAGGAUAUGGCAUUGCGUUGGAUCCCAACCAGGUUAUGGCAUUACAUUGGAUCCCAACCAGGUUAUGGCAUUGCAUUGGAUCCCAACCAGGAUAUGACAUUGCAUUUACUCAUCACGCCUCCUUAGGUUCCUCUUGGCUGUGACGGUUUCUCAGACUAUCCUUGUUUUUUAGGACCUUGACAGUUUUGAGGCAUACUGGAGAGCUCAACGUGGGCGUUUCUUUCUGUAACAAGUAUGCAUCAUGGCUGGCUGACUCCUCCCCAUAACAAGCAGUUUAAAGGUG